Tribolium castaneum (red flour beetle) is the source of this 271-nucleotide long non-coding RNA. RefSeq lists it as uncharacterized. The transcript is spliced from 2 exons. The record is from RefSeq and is a predicted model, not a curated record. Lineage: Eukaryota; Metazoa; Arthropoda; Insecta; Coleoptera; Tenebrionidae.
UUACCACCACUAAACGUCAAAACGGAGCAGAUUCUCAAAUCUAUAGCCAACUAUGCAUGUGAACCAGCAAAUUGUCUCCCCAUGAUGCAAAAUGUUUGCCCUUUCCAAUUCUUGUGCCAACUGUACUGCAAAGAACAACAAAAGGAAGGAGCUUGCGGGGGUGGAGCCUGCAAGUGUGUUUAAAUAAUACUCCUAACUAAAUCUCUUGUAAAUUAAUAAUGUAUUAACUACCUUCUAUUAAUAAAAAUGUUAAAAUUUGUAUAAGAAUAAA